RNAcentral lists this non-coding RNA (46 nucleotides) under Schistosoma curassoni. The record is from RNAcentral. Lineage: Eukaryota; Metazoa; Platyhelminthes; Trematoda; Strigeidida; Schistosomatidae.
GCACUGCUGAAGAGUCUAAUAUUGGGGCGAAACGGCCGUCCAGUGU